UGAAGUAUGGACUGGAGUGGAGAGAGACAAGAGGCAAGGAGGUCAGCAAGGAGGCUGAGACAAAAAAGGACCUGUGGAAGAAGAAGAGGCUGGGAGGCUCUGACAGAGAGCUAGGGCUGGUUGGUGGAAGGAGAGAUUCUAUCCAUAGAGAGGAUUCUAUGUUGUGCAUCUUGUGACAUGAAAAAUCAGACCAGAGGAAUUAUUUGAAUGAUAAUUUUUAUGUAAAAUAGACAUUUACACCGAUUUUGCUUUGGAAAGACUUCUUUAGCCAAAAGUAUUCAUAACAGACAGUGAAAAAGCAGAGUUUAUAAUGAUUUGUGAAUUGGGUAAUAAACAUAGAAGCAGCAUAAGCAUUCAAAAUGAAGUAUUCCUAAUUGGUAUUCCAGGUGUAAAUAAAGAAAGCCCAGUAAAAACAUCUGAAAAACAGAGGCUGGGAAACAAGAAUGCUACGAACAAACAAAAUCCAAAGCAAGUAUUCCUCAAUGACAAAAUAAAAUAGCUGAGUCAACUCACUUGAGGCCAACUUUGAUCUAAGAGAAAGGCAGUCUGUAACUUCCAUAGAUGUCAUUUUAAUCUCAGGAAAUCACUGAACACACAGGAAGAAAAGUUUUGAAGCACAUGCUUGGAAAACAGCCUCGUUAGGUUCACCACGUUUUUCCGCGAGUGUAAAAUCUGACUUAUGAUUUUAGCGGCACUCACCUUGUGCAAUAUUAAAACAAUCCGUCACAUUUAUGACACUGAUUUUGUCUUCUCAGUGCCACGAACCUUUCGGCCAGAUUUGCAACGGGCCUGGUUUGUAGGCGGUAUACAAGCAAGCUGCCCUUUGACACAUCCAACGUGUGUGACACUUUCUAUUUGGGCUCGUAGAUAUAAUAACUCCAGUGCCGUCAGAACUAUCUGGAAUCAAUCAAUGACAUUUAUUGAGCGCUUACUACAUGCAGAGCACUGUACUAAACGCUUGGGAGAGUACGAUAAAACAGAGUUAGCAGCCACGUUGGAAUGCGCUAUUUUUGUAUGGAUUGUGUUCGACAGGUGUGAAUAAGAUGUAACUUUUAAAGGCAUGAUAAAGACUACAAAUUCAAAAAGUGAUGCAUAGUUAUUCAUAUUACUGGCUUUGAUGCCUCUUGAGGUUGCUCUUUUAAACAAGGCCACUUGUAGCCAAAAAGCAACAUUUUCUAGGGGUCGAUUGAUAAAAUGUGAAUAUCGCUGCUAUUGGUAUGUGAAGAGCACAGGGUUCCAUUUAAGUCUCCCUGAAGGGGUGUUUGAAAAGUCAAAAAUUCAUUAGCUUGGCUACGUCUCAAAUAACUGGAGUUAUGCUUACACAGCCCUAAGCCAAUCCGUGAUAUUUAUUGAACCUUUACUGUGGGUAGAACACUGUAUGAAGCACUUGAAAGAGUGUAAUGCAUUAGAGUUGGUAGACACGACCACUGAAGUCGUACAAGCGCUUAGUACAGUGAUUCGCACACAGUAAGCGAUCGAUAAAUACGAUUAAUAAUAAUAAUAAUAAUAUGGACAAUGAAACGAUACAGAAGUAGGAUUCUAGGACAAAAUGUUCAAUCCGAUUUUAGCGAUCUUCAAGCUGCUAUUCAAAUCCAGCAGUACUUAGUGAUAUCCAACAAUAUUCCAUCAAUUUGAAAGCUACAGAUUGAGUUCAUGGAUGGAUCUCACGUAUAAUCAUGUGAAAUCAGGAUAUGAAUGAUAUCAAUUUCUCAAAACAAAUCCUUCCCGUGCGUGGGAGGAGUUUGGAAGAUCAAUACUAAAUAAAAGCGAUUGAGCAACCAGGAAAAA
Long non-coding RNA from Ornithorhynchus anatinus (platypus), 1788 nucleotides. RefSeq lists it as uncharacterized. The record is from RefSeq and is a predicted model, not a curated record. NCBI's taxonomy places the organism in Eukaryota, Metazoa, Chordata, Mammalia, Monotremata, Ornithorhynchidae. The transcript has 2 exons.